Homo sapiens (human) is the source of this 548-nucleotide long non-coding RNA. Ensembl annotates it as TCF21 antisense RNA inducing promoter demethylation. Its record names the gene TARID. The record is from Ensembl. Lineage: Eukaryota; Metazoa; Chordata; Mammalia; Primates; Hominidae.
GUUCUCGCGGGGUGGGACAGAGAGAGGAGCAUUGCGAGGGGGAAGCAGAGACAGAGAGCACUGAGGGCAGGGGUCGCCUUCCCGGGGCCCGCUCCCCCCGGGAGCGCGCCUUUCCCAGACUCGCACCUCCAAGGUCAGGACGCGGUGGUUCCACAUAAGCGGCUCGCGGUCACCACUUCUUUCAGGUCACUCUCGGGUUUCCCGGCCACCAUAAAGGGCCACGUCUGCGGGAAAGAAGAGGGUGGAGGAGAUGCUGCUACAAAGAGACCAAUCAACAACUGCUCAGCAGAGAUACAGAUCUGAAGCACAGAAGUGCAAUAGACCUUCCUGAUGCCUUCGCCAGACAACACGAACCUGCAAGUAAUCAUCCGACCAACUUCCUCUACUGCUUGGGAAUUGCAGGUUGUAUAAUCUUGGGAGGUCACUUCAACUAUACAAUUGGACUAAGAACACUGACUCUCGUGGGUGUUAUAAUUAAAUCAGGUAAUAUAUGGUAAGGUAAGCAUUGAUUAGUCUCUUCAUUAGUUGAUUAGCCUCUUCAAAUGUUA